GACAUACUUCCUCCGUCCGGAAAUAACUUGUCAUCAAAAUGGAUAGAAAGAGAUGUAUCUAAAACUAAAAUAUAUUUAAAUACAUCCCUUUUAUUCAUUUUGAUGACAAGUAUUUCCGAAUGGAGGAAGUACUAU
This is a non-coding RNA of Triticum aestivum (bread wheat), 135 nucleotides long. The record is from Rfam. Lineage: Eukaryota; Viridiplantae; Streptophyta; Magnoliopsida; Poales; Poaceae.